AUUGAACGCUGGCGGCAGGCUUAACACAUGCAAGUCGAGCGGGGAAAGGUAGCUUGCUCCCUGACCUAGCGGCGGACGGGUGAGUAAUGCUUAGGAAUCUGCCUAUUAGUGGGGGACAACAUCUCGAAAGGGAUGCUAAUACCGCAUACGUCCUACGGGAGAAAGCAGGGGACCUUCGGGCCUUGCGCUAAUAGAUGAGCCUAAGUCGGAUUAGCUAGUUGGUGGGGUAAAGGCCUACCAAGGCGACGAUCUGUAGCGGGUCUGAGAGGAUGAUCCGCCACACUGGGACUGAGACACGGCCCAGACUCCUACGGGAGGCAGCAGUGGGGAAUAUUGGACAAUGGGGGGAACCCUGAUCCAGCCAUGCCGCGUGUGUGAAGAAGGCCUUUUGGUUGGAAAGAACUUUAAGCGAGGAGGAGGCUACCGAGAUUAAUACUCUUGGAUAGUGGACGUUACUCGCAGAAUAAGCACCGGCUAACUCUGUG
RNAcentral lists this ribosomal RNA (485 nucleotides) under uncultured bacterium. Its description in RNAcentral is "partial 16S ribosomal RNA". It matches the Rfam family "Bacterial small subunit ribosomal RNA", at positions 30 to 507 of the family's 1533-position model. The record is from RNAcentral.